Molecule: ribosomal RNA, 429 nt
Filed under: bacterium
Lineage: Bacteria
Description: partial 16S ribosomal RNA
Rfam family: Bacterial small subunit ribosomal RNA
Source: RNAcentral
UAGGGAAUCUUCGGCAAUGGGGGCAACCCUGACCGAGCAACGCCGCGUGAGUGAAGAAGGUUUUCGGAUCGUAAAGCUCUGUUGUAAGAGAAGAACGUGUGUGAGAGUGGAAAGUUCACACAGUGACGGUAACUUACCAGAAAGGGACGGCUAACUACGUGCCAGCAGCCGCGGUAAUACGUAGGUCCCGAGCGUUGUCCGGAUUUAUUGGGCGUAAAGCGAGCGAAGGCGGUUUAAUAAGUCUGAAGUUAAAGGCAGUGGCUUAACCAUUGUUCGCUUUGGAAACUGUUAAACUUGAGUGCAGAAGGGGAGAGUGGAAUUCCAUGUGUAGCGGUGAAAUGCGUAGAGAUAUGGAGGAACACCGGUGGCGAAAGCGGCUCUCUGGUCUGUAACUGACGCUGAGGCUCGAAAGCGUGGGGAGCAAACAGG